This 490-nucleotide ribosomal RNA is filed under the name uncultured bacterium. RNAcentral's name for it is "bacterial SSU rRNA". It matches the Rfam family "Bacterial small subunit ribosomal RNA", at positions 791 to 1280 of the family's 1533-position model. The record is from RNAcentral.
UAGUCCACACCGUAAACGAUGAUUGCUAGUUGUCGGCAGGCAUGCCUGUCGGUGACGCAGCUAACGCAUUAAGCAAUCCGCCUGGGGAGUACGGCCGCAAGGUUAAAACUCAAAGAAAUUGACGGGGGCCCGCACAAGCGGUGGAGCAUGUGGUUUAAUUCGAUGCAACGCGAAGAACCUUACCUGCCCUUGACAUUGACAGAAUCCUGUAGAGAUACGGGAGUGCUUCGGCCUGGAAAACAGGUGCUGCAUGGCUGUCGUCAGCUCGUGCCGUGAGGUGUCAGGUUAAGUCCUAUAACGAGCGCAACCCCUGUCGUUAGUUGCCAGCGAGUCAUGUCGGGGACUCUAACGAGACUGCCGGUGCAAACCGUGAGGAAGGUGGGGGAUGACGUCAAAUCAUCACGGGCCCUUACGUCCUGGGGCCACACACGUGCUACAAUGGUAGGUACAGAGAGCAGCCAUGUCGCAAGGGUAGAGCGAAUCUACAAAA